UUGGCAGCUGUGGGUCUCUUCUUGGGCUUGAGAGGCAGCUUUCCUCCCAUAGCCAAAAGGUCAUCCUCAAUCUCCUUUUUGGAAUGCUAAAUCUCAAUUUUGGGCCAAAAUCCAUUGGUUUUCAGCCUUCUAUCUUUAUUGGCACUUCUGAGCCUUUGAGACCAUUGCAAGCUUUCACGCUCUAUAUCUUCUCUUGCCGUUUUAACAGGGUUUUCAGGGAUUUUAUGAUGUGGUUCAACCAACUUUUCAGCCUUCUUUAUUGGGUCCAAUCUUCACUGUUCGAGGACGUUUUUCUGUUACCCAUUUCCAUGGUAGAUUAGAGUUUCCACGGUUUUGCCCCAUUUUAUUGGGAAAGAAGAGAGGAAGAAAAAGGAAAAUAAGGGUGGAGCUGAGAGGGAGAGUAAAGGAUGAGAGUUGAAAGGGAGAGAGAGUAGAAAACCAAAAAAGAGUGAGGAAGAUUUGAGAGAGAGAGGGAGUGCAGAGAGCUUAGAGGAAGAGUUAAC
RNAcentral lists this long non-coding RNA (503 nucleotides) under Amborella trichopoda. RNAcentral's name for it is "long non-coding RNA (ATRI_LNC003075)". The record is from RNAcentral. Lineage: Eukaryota; Viridiplantae; Streptophyta; Magnoliopsida; Amborellales; Amborellaceae.